Molecule: long non-coding RNA, 1464 nt
Filed under: Olea europaea subsp. europaea
Lineage: Eukaryota; Viridiplantae; Streptophyta; Magnoliopsida; Lamiales; Oleaceae
Source: RNAcentral
CUUGAAUUCAUGUUUUGUGGUUAUAAUGAUCUCAUCGAUUGCUUGUAACUUGUUGGCCGAUGAAUCAGUGAAGCAUCAAAAUAAUAUGUAUGAAAGGCAAAGGGUGUCCAUUUAGGCUUGUACUCAACUGUUUGAUAUCCUCUUUAAAUUUCUCUAAUAUUGUCCCAAGAGUUCAGUUAGAUUCUUCAGUCAAUGUUUCAAGUUUUAUAUUUACAUUUGAUGAAUUCUUUUUAAUUUUUAUCUUAUUUGCUGAUUGAUUAGCUACCAAGAGAGAUGCCUGCUUUAGAGGCAAACAAGGUGCUUUUUCUGGUUAGGAUUCCUUUUCCUACGAAAAAGUUUAUGGGUUUUCAUGGGUAGCUCCAGUUCGUCGCAGUUUGACGUUUUUUGGUCGUUUUAGUAAUGUAAGAAAACCUUUCACUCUCCAGUCUUGGAACUAAAGGAACUAUUGCAAAGUUGAAUAGUCUUGACCUUGUUUUUGAUGUAGAAAUGGUAAAACACGUCAAAUUUGUUGUCUACCUGCUCAUCUAUUGUAGAAUUAUAGUCUUAGAUAAGCUGUCUCUUGUCAUAUUUGAAUUGAUAUUUGUCCUCUUGCAACAUAAAGAUUGAAAUUUGUGUUUGAUUUCUUGAAGCUGUUAAAUGAAGAAGACAUCACCGACUUUCCAAAUUAAUCCAUCUUCUCUGUCGACAUACUAUAAGAUGCUGGAAGUCUCUAAACUUCUUGCCUAUCCACCUCCAUGAUUUGAUGAAUCUAGAGGCCAUUUUUACCUCCAUAUUGGAAGAAGCUGUUAAAACAUGAUCUGACAUGAAUGUCCAUACACCAAUAUUUGAAGGUUAUAUUUUAUCCAGCACCUUGAAGUUUAAUUGACCUCUUCCAGACUAUUAAGUUCCUAUCUGGAAACUGUCAUCUACAUUGUUACACUUCAAAUCUUAUGAUUAGUUCCAAUUAUCUCAGCAAUAAGGACAUAUUUCCUAUUAAAUACCAAUAGCUGUUGUAAUUUAACAGAUAUAGUUUUGUUGGAAAGUUUUGAAUGAAUUAAUCUGUGACGAUUCUUGGACCAGGGUUUUAUAUUAGCCUCUAUUUCAAGUUCUGAUUCUUAACUUGUAGUUGUGUACUUUAGGCAAUGUAACCAGCAAUGUCUCCUUUGCUGUUGUUGCUAUCUCAUUCAAUCACACAAUUAAAGGUAAUGCUCAACCUAAAAUACAGGUGUAGAGAUGGCAUCAUUGACUGGGUUGUCUUUCAACUAGAUUGCCUUCAUUAGUGCUUUGAUUUCCAAUAUCUCCUUCACUUGCAGGAGCAUAUAUUCAAAGAAAGCUAUGGUUAAUUGGGUGAGGUAUAUUUUAUUAGAUUUCCAUUUUAUCUUGAUGUUAUGAAAGUUGUAAAUAGGCAGAGUGCAGUCUGCAUUCACACACUGGGGCUAUUCGUCUCUAAUCAAUGCUUCUUUUGCAGACCGAUAAGGAUAGCAC